Molecule: small nuclear RNA, 114 nt
Filed under: Zalophus californianus (California sea lion)
Lineage: Eukaryota; Metazoa; Chordata; Mammalia; Carnivora; Otariidae
Description: U2 spliceosomal RNA (ENSZCAG00015003073.1)
Rfam family: U2 spliceosomal RNA
About the family: U2 is a small nuclear RNA (snRNA) component of the spliceosome (involved in pre-mRNA splicing).
Source: RNAcentral
AUCGUUUCUCAGCCUUUUAGCUAAGAUCAAGUGUAGUAUCUGUUCUUAUCAGUUUAAAAUCACUGGUAGCCAUAAUGGUUUCUCUUUCUUGAGAUUCAGCAGUGAGUACCUCAG